This 83-nucleotide transfer RNA is filed under the name Primorskyibacter flagellatus. RNAcentral describes it as "tRNA-Gly". Lineage: Bacteria; Pseudomonadati; Pseudomonadota; Alphaproteobacteria; Rhodobacterales; Roseobacteraceae. The record is from RNAcentral.
AGCGCCCUAGCCCACGGUCAUCCAAGCCCCCUCCCCCUGCCAGGGGGAGGGGGCCGCGCCCCGAUCCAACCGGUGCGACGCCG